Molecule: ribosomal RNA, 762 nt
Filed under: uncultured archaeon
Lineage: Archaea
Description: bacterial SSU rRNA
Rfam family: Archaeal small subunit ribosomal RNA
Source: RNAcentral
CCCCUCCUGUAUCUGUACAGCAUGGGAACUAUGUGUAAUACGUGAUAGGCAAUGUAGUCUGGAAUGACUUGUUGCUCAAACUCGAGCCAUAGGAUGGGGCGGCGCCGGAUUAGGCUGUUGGUGGUGUAAUGGACUACCAAACCUAGGAUCCGUACGGGCCAUGAGAGUGGUCGCCCGGAGAGGGACACUGAGAUACUGGUCCCAGCCCUACGGGGUGCAGCAGCUGCGAAAACUCUACAAUGGGCGAAAGCCUGAUAGGGGGAUCCAGAGUGCUCAUGCUUUGCAUGGGCUUUUGCCAAGUCGAAAUUUCUUGGCGAAUAAGUGGUGGGCAAGACUGGUGCCAGCCGCCGCGGUAACACCAGCGCCACAAGUGGCAAUCGCGUUUAUUGGGCCUAAAGCGUCCGUAGCUGGCCUGGCAAAUCCUUUGUGAAAUCGUGGGACUUAAUCUCACGGCGCGCAGAGGCGACUACCAGGCUUGGGACCGGGAGGGGUCAGAGGUAUUCCGGGGGGACUGGUAAAAUGGUAUAAUCCCCGGCAGACCACCGAUGGCGAAGGCAUCUGACCAGAACGGAUCCGACAGUGAGGGACGAAAGCUAGGGGAGCGAACCGGAUUAGAUACCCGAGUAGUCCUAGCCGUAAACGCUGUGAGCUAGGUGUUGCGCUUACUACUGGUAAGCGCAGUGUCGAAACGAAGGUGUUAAGCUCACCGCCUGGGAAGUACGGCCGCAAGACUGAAACUUUAAGGAAUUGGCGGGGGAGCAC